RNAcentral lists this microRNA (22 nucleotides) under Manihot esculenta (cassava). RNAcentral's name for it is "mes-miR482". Its record names the gene mes-miR482. The record is from miRBase by way of RNAcentral. Lineage: Eukaryota; Viridiplantae; Streptophyta; Magnoliopsida; Malpighiales; Euphorbiaceae.
UCUUCCCUACUCCACCCAUUCC